This 232-nucleotide long non-coding RNA is filed under the name Glycine max (soybean). Its description in RNAcentral is "long non-coding RNA (GMAX_LNC002796)". Lineage: Eukaryota; Viridiplantae; Streptophyta; Magnoliopsida; Fabales; Fabaceae. The record is from RNAcentral.
CUCCAAUUACAUUGAAUCAGCGAUAUAGACUUCUGACUGGCUCAUCACGCACCAGUUCCCCACUUGGAAAUUGGGAUGGCACGGUCGCACGAAACUUUGCGGAUCUUGUGGAGCCUUCUCUCCUAUUGCCGCCACCUUUUCCUCGAACAUUAUCCCGACACUUGUGAAACACUGGCUAACAUGACCGAGCCAUGCCCUAUCUGCCCGAAGUCUUGAUGGUGCAUUCCUUCUU